CGCAUGACAAUUUUGACAGAGAGUGGACGGGUGUAAGGGGGUGAGCUUUCGUUCUGCAUUUAUCAAGCUCAUCUGUCAGACAUCAGUUAAACACAGAUGGACGCAAAGAAAGCUGACAUAUCCUACUUUGAUGUACAGUAAAGAAGGAAAGGAGAAGGGGAAUCCCCAUGAUCUACCUACACAGGGAAACAAAUGCUAAAUUAGGAACAGGCACCAUGAAAACCUCUGGGUUCGGAACAAUGUAAUGGGACACACUGCUACUAAAUAAACUGAAGUUGUAAUUUGAUAGUUGAAACAGAUUUAACAGAAGCCAUGAUGCUGGUGUCUAGAGGAGAACUCCAGGAUGGUUUAAAGCACGGCAUUUAAUACAGAGCUUCAUCACCAUUCACCAUUCCAAUUGGGGGGAACC
This is a long non-coding RNA of Clarias gariepinus (North African catfish), 409 nucleotides long. RefSeq lists it as uncharacterized. The transcript has 4 exons. NCBI's taxonomy places the organism in Eukaryota, Metazoa, Chordata, Actinopteri, Siluriformes, Clariidae. The record is from RefSeq and is a predicted model, not a curated record.